GAUGAACGCUGGCGGCGUGCCUAAUACAUGCAAGUCGAGCGAACAGACGAGGAGCUUGCUCCUUUGACGUUAGCGGCGGACGGGUGAGUAACACGUAGGUAACCUACCUAUAAGACUGGGAUAACUUCGGGAAACCGGAGCUAAUACCGGAUAAUAUUUCGAACCGCAUGGUUCGAUAGUGAAAGAUGGCUUUGCUAUCACUUAUAGAUGGACCUGCGCCGUAUUAGCUAGUUGGUAAGGUAACGGCUUACCAAGGCAACGAUACGUAGCCGACCUGAGAGGGUGAUCGGCCACACUGGAACUGAGACACGGUCCAGACACCUACGGGAGGCAGCAGUAGGGAAUCUUCCGCAAUGGGCGAAAGCCUGACGGAGCAACGCCGCGUGAGUGAUGAAGGUCUUCGGAUCGUAAAACUCUGUUAUUAGGGAAGAACAAACGUGUAAGUAACUGUGCACGUCUUGACGGUACCUAAUCAGAAAGCCACGGCUAACUACGUG
RNAcentral lists this ribosomal RNA (497 nucleotides) under uncultured bacterium. Its description in RNAcentral is "partial 16S ribosomal RNA". It matches the Rfam family "Bacterial small subunit ribosomal RNA", at positions 28 to 507 of the family's 1533-position model. The record is from RNAcentral.